This 284-nucleotide ribosomal RNA is filed under the name Shouchella clausii. RNAcentral's name for it is "Bacillus clausii partial 23S ribosomal RNA". It matches the Rfam family "Bacterial large subunit ribosomal RNA", at positions 898 to 1180 of the family's 2925-position model. The record is from RNAcentral. Lineage: Bacteria; Bacillati; Bacillota; Bacilli; Caryophanales; Bacillaceae.
GGAGGUAGAGCACUGAUUGGACGAGGGGUCCCCACAGGAUUACCGAAUUCAGUCAAACUCCGAAUGCCAAUGACUUUAACUCGGGAGUCAGACUGCGAGUGCUAAGAUCCGUAGUCAAGAGGGAAACAGCCCAGACCAUCAGCUAAGGUCCCCAAGUAUACGUUAAGUGGAAAAGGAUGUGGAGUUGCCCAGACAACCAGGAUGUUGGCUUAGAAGCAGCCAUCAUUGAAAGAGUGCGUAAUAGCUCACUGGUCGAGUGACUCUGCGCCGAAAAUGUACCGGGG